RNAcentral lists this ribosomal RNA (366 nucleotides) under uncultured eukaryote. RNAcentral describes it as "partial 18S ribosomal RNA". It matches the Rfam family "Eukaryotic small subunit ribosomal RNA", at positions 592 to 976 of the family's 1831-position model. The record is from RNAcentral.
CAAUAGCGUAUAUUAAAGUUGUUGCAGUUAAAAAGCUCGUAGUUGAAUUUCUGGUGGGCGCGCCGGUCUUCCAAGUGUUGUACUGGGCGCAGUCCGCCAUCCUUGUGGAGAGGGCUCGCAUUGAGUUGCGUGUCGGAUCUGCAUCAUUUACUGUGAAAAAAUUAGAGUGUUUAAAGCAGGCUGUCGCUUGAAUACAUUAGCAUGGAAUAAUAAGAUAGGACUUCGGUCUAUUUUGUUGGUUGCGAACCGGGGUAAUGAUUAAUAGGGAUAGUUGGGGGUAUUCAUAUUUAAUUGUCAGAGGUGAAAUUCUUGGAUUUAUGAAAGAUGAACAACUGCGAAAGCAUUUACCAAGGAUGUUUUCAUUAA